GAAUAGGGAUGAUAUAAGUUCAUUUGUCUGUCAAUCCGCUGAUGUUGUGUGAUGUUACUUUAGGGCUAUAACUC
Lotus japonicus is the source of this 74-nucleotide small nucleolar RNA. RefSeq annotates it as small nucleolar RNA snoR14. The transcript has a single exon. Lineage: Eukaryota; Viridiplantae; Streptophyta; Magnoliopsida; Fabales; Fabaceae. The record is from RefSeq and is a predicted model, not a curated record.